ACAUGGUGGGGGGAGAGCAGGAGUGCUUAUUAGGGUGCUGUCAGACCUCAGUGUGGAAUUCCGCUUCUCACAGUUGGCCAUAAUCAAUCAGUCAGACUCUCUCUCUCCUCCCUUCUGCCUCUCCCUUUCUUUCCCUGGUUGAAGGGGCCCUCUUAAAUCGCUCUUGAGCCUGCAUUCUAAUUUAAUCUCUCUCCCACGUGAAAUCCACUUCUCCCAGCUAAGCUGCGUUUUGCAGCUUUAUGACGGUACCGAAAGCACUUUAUUUCCACUUAAAGAGCUGCCUGUUCUAUUUACCAUCACUCUCAGGGUACUUAACCUCAUUUAAAAGGCUGACUUUCCCCUGCAUUAUAAAGUUGAUCGGGAGUCUCAAAGCCUCUUUCUCUGCCCAGCCCGCAGCCAGCUCUCUCCAGCCACCCUAGCCUCGCCCUCACCCCUCCCAGACUCUGUUCCAAGGCCCAGGCGCGCUCCGCGUGGGCGACGUAUCCCUGAGCGCUCCGCCUCCGGCCAGCCUGACCGCUCCGUGCUCGGUGUCACUCCUGGCACGUCUCCACAUUCCUAAAAUCCCAGAGAGGACCUCGAAAUAGGAUAAAAAAACGAGAAUUUAAAUACGAAGCAACAGCCCUUGCAGGGCUGCCUGCUCUGGCUGGGAAGGGCCUGGGCCUCCGCCUCCACCUGAGACGCUUGUUUCCUGCGCGGUUUUGCAACGUCAGAGCCGUCCACACUCGCAGGCCAUUUUUAGCGGCCUGUUGGAAGGGGAAGACAGUGAAGUCGGCCUAAGCAGAGCAAUGCUUUGCCCUCUGAGAGGCGAGGAGGACCCUUGGGAAGCUCAGAGAGCUACGAUAAAAUGGCUAAACGACCUUCCUCUCCUCCAAGUCACCAAAUACGAGCCAGGUAAAGCUUCCCAGACAGGAGGCCUGGGCAGAUGCUGAAACACACCGGACUCUUGGAUGGGCCUGGCCCCGGACAGCCUGCUGGGGUCCCGCCCACCCUGUCACUCCACCACUUUCUCAUCCAAGGUGCUCUCUAAGUGCUGCCUAUAGAUAAUCUCAUUUAAUCCAAUCCCCUUAGAAGGUAAGUACAGUCAUCUCUCAGUAUCUAUGGGAGACUGGUACCCACUGCAAAUACUAAAGUCCACGGACUCUCAAAUCUCAUAUAAAAUGGUGUGAUGUUUGCAUAUGACCUAUGCAUAGCCUCCUGUAUAUGUUAAAUCAUCUCUAGAUUACUUAUGACACCUAAUACAGUGUAAAUGCAAUAUUUGUUAUACUGUACUGUUCAUUACAUACAGUGGCAAAAAAAAAGUCUGUACAUGUUCAGUGCAGACUCAAUCAUUUAUUUUUUUCCCCCCAAAUAUCUUGUAUCUGAGGUUGGUUGAAUUCAUGGAUGCAGAACCUGUAGAUAUGGAGGACCAACUGUAUUAUUGUUGUUUCUAUUUUAUAGGAGAGUAAUUGGAGGCUCAGAGAGGUUAAGUAAUGCACCCUAGGUCACACAGCUAGUAACUAGAAGAGAGGAUUCUAACUUAGGCAAAGUCCAGAAUUUGUGCUUCGGGACUACUAGGCUAUACGGUCUCUAAAUGACUAGCAAUCUCCAACAAGUGUGCUUUGACUCCUCCAAAAAUGACCUGCUACCCCUCAGUAAAAGCAGCCAAUAGCAGGCUCUGUGUUAAGGCCCUGGUCAGUAGUUGCUGUUGGCUACGAAGGUGGCAUUGUGCUAUGGUGCCUGAUGGCCCCAGAAGUGUUGAAAUCCAGGCUGAAUCCUGGCACUGGUAUGAAUCAGGGGUUUCAGUCUGAAGGUGGUUUGAGUCCGUGGGUUCGGGCUGAGCGCACUGAUAUUGACAGUACUGUUGUGAGUAUCUGGCUUAGUUAGUCAUCCCAGCGACAUUCCUCAGGAUGGGCUUGGAUUUGUGGGGGGAAAAGGGCACCAGCGGGGGAGAGGUUUUGUGCCAGGUUGGAGGGUCUGCAGCCUGGAAUCACGUGGGAAGCACUGGAGUAAUCCGUCUCCAAAGCGGCAUAGGCAGACCCCAGCACCACAGAGCUCAGCCCACAGAGCAACCCACGGCAGGGGAAGGCUCUCCAGGCUGCAGACCUCACUCUUUGGUGGUUAGCGAAGGAUAAGAGGACCCUUAAAAGAUCCUAAAACAUAGAACAGAGAUGAAGAGUUCCUGAGCAGAGAAUGAUCAGGUACCUGCAAUGGAGCCUGUAAAAGGAAGGAGUAUUGAGAACAUCUCAGAAGCCAAAGCAGGUGAGUGCAAAUUGGAAGAGAGGUCAAGGGGUGGGAGCAGAGGGAGGGAACUGCCUGUGAUGUACUGAACUGUGUCCCCGCUAAAAUUCCUAUGGUGGACCCCCAACUCCCAGUACCUCAGACUGUGACUGUGUUUGGAGAUAGGGCCUUGAAAGAAGUGAUUAAAGUGAAAUGAGGUCAUAGGGUGGCCCUAGCUCAAUCUGGUCUCCUUCUAAGAAGAGGAGAUGAGGACACAGGCACAGAAGAAAGGCCAUGUGUGGACACAGGGAGAAGAUGCCAUAUACAAGGCAAGGAGAGAUCUCAGGAGAGACCGAUCCUGACGACAACUUGAUCUCAGACUUCCAGCCUCCAGGACUGUGAAACUUUACAUUUCUGCUGUUGAAGCCACAGUCUGUGGUACUACGGCCGGGCAGCCCCAGCUGAUGAAUAUGCCGCCCUUCUCACCUCUCCAGGGCCAGUUGGUGUCUUAUGGAGCUGCCUUUAGGACUCACAGGUGUAAGAUGUGCUCCUGGAAAACUGCUAUCGCCUUUUACAAAGAGGGACAUUUGGUCCAUUUCCACUCAAAUGCAUAAACACUGCAAUCUCCCAGUGCUUGUUCAUUGGUUCACUUGUUUACCAAGUUCCUCUGAUGGCAACCCCAGUCCACAUAAUUAUGUGCCCCUUGCCAGCCCUGUUCUUACGACUCAAAGAUGUGUGCUGGUGGAGUACUGGCACAGGAGGUGAGGGGCGUGUGGCAUCCUUUGGGAUACCAGGAGGGAAAUAUCAGUGGCAUCUGGGUAGAGUGGCCUUUUCCAGGGGGAAGGAAGCCUGAGUGUGGUUCAGCCCGAGGCGGGCUGUUUCUGAAUGUUGGACGGGGGGGUUUGUGGUCACUGCUGAAAAGCAGCAGGAAACGGCCAUGCCAGUCCAGCAUGAGCAACUGAGCUCCCCGUUCCUACAGAACACUGAUCUUGUCCCAUGCGGGCCAUGCAUGUGACCCGGGGGCAGGGCUGUGGGGUCUGGGCUGUGCAGGCAUCCAUGGGCACGUGGUCAUAGAGACUAGACUCCACCUCUCUGUCUCUCAUUCCACAUGGGACUGAGGCUGGGAGAGGGGUCAGAACUGCCAUUCCGGGUUGGGGACAGAGAGCCCACGGUUCCAGAGAGAGGGACACCGAGUAUCAGCCAGUGAGCUGCAGCCACGACCCAGGGGCUCAUAUCUCACUGGCAGGAGUCUCAGCCCUGCUGCUGGCAUAGCCAGGCGUGAAGUGGGGGGCUCCAGACACGGCUCCCUGCCCUCUGGAUUCAGGGCUGUUCCCAGCUACCUGAGCAUGUCAGUUCUUCGGGCAGCCAUCUCUGCCUGAAACCCAGAACUUCCUCCACAGUGAGCUGGGACCUAUCCCCACCUGCUCCCCACUUGUGUGACACUCUCGAAGCUCAUGAAGCAAGCGUUUAAGGCAGUUUGGGUUAGAAAGCCUUACAUCUCAAAAAAUAAUAGGUUCCCUGACACCUCACCUGGGCCCAACUAUUGAGAAUUCCAUUUGGCUGGUUCUGUGUAGUUCUUCAAACCUUGGCAUGCUUAUUUCACUUGUUGGGAUAGACAGAUCAAUAAGGUUGCUGAUCCCACCACUGGGGACAGCGGCGUCCACCAGGGACUGGCAUAUUCCGGUGAGCUCUCAUGGUGGGUUCUGGGUAUCCACUGUACGGUUUUUCGUUUGAGGUUACCAUGAGGCUUGCAAAUACUACCUUAUAAUCCAUUAUUUUAA
Long non-coding RNA from Macaca mulatta (Rhesus monkey), 3977 nucleotides. RefSeq lists it as uncharacterized. NCBI's taxonomy places the organism in Eukaryota, Metazoa, Chordata, Mammalia, Primates, Cercopithecidae. The record is from RefSeq and is a predicted model, not a curated record.